UGCAUAUGAAGCUAAUGCUUUGCUUUUUAAUAUGUUUAACUUACAUCUUGACAUAUAACUAAACUGUUUUAUAAUCAAAUGGUUUCAUUUUUGAGGUAUUCUAGUUUAACAAUUGUAUUAUCUGUAAAUAAUGAUUGUUUUGCCUCUUUUUUUUUCACCAUCCCUGUAUCUGAGAAAUAGUCCCUGUCUUUAUGAGAUAAAUCUUUUUAAUCUAUAUAAAUGAGUAAAUAGUAGAGGGAGGGAAACUUCUUUUAAUGAAAAUGGGAGACAUCAUUUCCCCCCAAAACACUCCUACCACCCUGCCUCUCAAAGAGAACGAUGCUAUUAUAAGAUCUUGAUUAAACUACCGUGCUUAAAAUCAAAAUUUAUUUAUCCAUAGGUAUGUUUGUGCAGCCUGCUGAAGGAAGCCAUAAGGAAUCCCUACUUCCAUUUUUAAUUAAGGAACUCCUUCAACAUGGCUUACAGUGCACAUCUGCUCACAAUAAAUGUAUUCUUUCACAAAAAGACAAAUGCUGUGUGUUAUCACUCAUAUGUGAAAGCUAAAAAUGAACUUAUAUGUAUAUAUAAGUUUAACUUAUACUGCACUUACACCACAAAUCUAUACCACAGCUCAUAAACAUAUACUCAAAUAUCAUCUUGUAGAACUACAACUGUAUUCAAGAGGUACCUUCAACAUCUCUGUUCCUAUUUCAGUGAGCCUCAGGAUUCACUAUGGACUUCUCACCUCCUCCAUUUCAAUGAAUUUCUGUGAUUCGUAGGAUGCCCACAGCAACAGAUAAGAAAGCAGAUGCAGAAACCAAAAUACUUUUGCUCUGGGAUAAGAAGUCACAAUUAUUUCUCAUCAGUGCUGCUUCACUAGCUCCGAUUUUUUCCAGAGCUCUGGAGCCUGCUUGUUUACCUGGACUUAGAGGAGUUAAAAGUACUCGAUAAAUUAUAAAUGCCUGCAGGGAAAGACAAGAUGUUAAUCAAUUUGUAUUCUCUGAAUCUAGCUCAGUGCUUGAAUAAGGUGUCCAGUAAAAGCUGUAAAAAGAAUGCAUGUUGAAAUCUUGCUCCUGCGUGCCUUCGAUGAACUAUCUUGUGAACUUCCUGACUAAAGAGCAAUAUUAUGUAUAAGUACCUGGUUACUUAGCAGGACACUGAUUACUAACACUGUGUUUCUGACUAUGGCAAUAUGACCUGAAUUUAACUUGUAUAAUUGAAAAUUAAUAGCAUGGCUUGAAACAAUGCUUAAGCAUAAACACAAAAUUAACAUUUGUCAAACUAAACGGGAAAAGAAAAAAAAUAUAUUUUUUUAAUUUGUUCUGGUGAACAGAAUUCCUAACUUUUCUUUUUCUGCUUUUUCAAUAUUGCAAGUGAACAGAGAUUUCCUAGAGAGCAGUGGGAAAUAUAUAAAAUUAUAAAGUUUCAUGCUGAAUUUAAAUUUUGACCAGCUCCUAUAAUAUUUAUUAUUGUUGUGUGAAUUGCCUUGUAGCUAUGAAAACUGGUUUCUCAUUUGAAGGCAGCUCGUAGUCAGGAACUGAUUUUAUAAUUGAAGGCAUUAGGAAAUUCAACGUCAUUAGUGUAAUUAUGGAAAGGUGAUUCAUAGCUUUGGGAUAUUUUUCUUUGUUCAAAGAAGACAGUGUCUCUAGGAGACAAACAAAGUAGAUAGCUCAGUUUAAUGAAUAAAUAUUUGUGAAAUACUGAAAACUGAAAACUUUUGGUUAUAAGUGUAAGAAUUGUUCAUUGUGUAAAAAGAUGUACUUUUACAUAUAAUUAUUGAUAUUUUUCUCUAAAACGUAAAAUGUGAAAUGUGAUACAAAUAAUUUUUUGAAACAAUCAAUAGUAAGGAAAAUACAAUGCUUAAAACAGGCAGAGAAACCAAACAGUUACCUAAUAAAUUCUCACAUAAUAUCAUUUUUAAUAUUUGUUUUCCUCUUGAAGAAUAAGUAUCAUUUAUUAAGUAUCAUAAAAUAAAACAUUACUCACUGGCCUGGCCCGGUGACUCAUGCCUGAAAUUCCAGCACUUUGGGAGGCUGAGGAGGGCGGAUUGCUUGAGCCUGGAUUCGAAACCAGCCUGAGAAAGGUGGUGAGACCUCGUCUUUAUUAUUGUUUUUGUUUUUGUUUUAAAUUACUUGGAGCUUCUUUCUAAUGGCUUCCUUACUUUUAAAAAAGCCAAACAUUCCUUCAUUUAUACAAUGUGGUUCUAAAUUCCUUCUGCAAUUUAUUUUUAUUCCCUAAAAACAUGUAGAUAAUAGCUAUUAAUAAUAAGAAAUCUGAUUUUUCUUCUAUUUUGUAUCAGUCAAAAAUAUUAUUUUAAGAACAUAAUGAAAAGUAUUCAAUAUAUGGUUAUCAGAAUUUUUUACACAAUUUUAAAAUGAAGAAAUACCAUUCGUCUAAACUAGUAGAGGGAGAACAGUACUAGGGGAUUAAAUUAACGUCUUACUUUUCAUUAUUAGACACACUUACAUGAGAAAAGGCAAAUAAAGCAAAACAUAAGCAAAGAGACUCUUGCAAAAGUCAAUGUCUAUGACUUAAUUAGGAUAAGGCAAGUGAAGAGAAACAAAUGAAUAUAAAUAGCAGUUGUGUGCUUCCAUAUAAAAUAUAUGGAAACAAAUGACUACUGGUACUUUGCUCUCCAUUAGGAUAACAUGUAAAGACGCAAUCACCUUCAACACUCAAAUAAUAAAACCCAUAUUUUAUCCACACUCAGCUUCUAUCAAUCCCACUUCAUAAAUGCAUUUCAAACUCUUUCCACCCUCUGUAUCUUCACCACCACCACAUUCUUAGCUACCAUAAUUUCUAAUCUUGAGUAGUAAUGCAGUGCCCUGAUAAGAAGCAUUUUAUAGAGAAAAUGGAAAGAAGUUUGAAUAACUACUUAAUUAUCUUGACACAUACAUAAAUAAAUAAAUCUUAGACAAGGAUGAAUAUAAAAAAUAAUGUAUAAAUGUGUCUUAUAAGGCAUUUAGAUACAAAACCUAAAGGUCUUUUUACUUAAACCAGUCAAAAUGAAUAUAGAUAAUACUGCAUUUAGUCAACUAUAAAUGUACAUUUUUCUGCAUUUUUAACACCUCUGAAAUUGAGAUGUGUCAUAAUUAAUGCUAUUAUAAUUUGUAAAGUACGCUAACUCAAGUAGUUGCAUAUCAACUUGCGUUACCUGUUCUACCUGCUAACAUUUCCACCCAGAAGAAAUAUUUUAUUAUCAAAUGGCAGAAACAAUUUUCACAGUAGCCACAUAAAUAGGCUUUGGAUCACAAAAAUCAUAAAUUACUCCCGUGUUGACCUUCCACUAUCAAAAAAGUUUUAAACCCUCCCAGAAAGUUUAGUAGAAAGAGAAAGAGUCAACGGUACGGUGGUAAGAGCAUGCACUCUAAAUCAUGUUGCUUAGAAUAUAUACUAGAUGUGUCAAGUGGCAAGACACUUAACCCUCUGUGCCAACAAACUGCAGAUAACAAUAAUUAUUUCAAUGUAUUUUUGAAGAUUAACAGAUAUUACAUAUCACAAUGCUUAAUGAAUAAUAUGUACUCCAAUAAUUAUAUUAUAUUUUGAUGCUGAUUACUCAUGUUCAAAUGAGGAUUUAAGGCCUCAUUAGAAAUUUAGGCAAUUGGUUAAUCUACUUCUCUAUUCAAUCAACAUAUAGUCAGUGCUAUAUGUGCUGAAGGCACAGUAUUUUCCCUGCUUUAGAGUAGCAAUGUAAUGAGGGAACCAAAGUUAAAAAGCAAAAAGAAGUGAAUUUUAAUGUUGAUAAAAUCAUGCCAUACUAAGAAAUGUGCCUAUAUUAAGGUAAAGUAAUAAACUAUAAAGUUGUUUAACAACAUUUUUAUUCCACUUUUUUUCUUUCCAGUUCCUUAUUGAGUUAAAACUUGUAAAAACUGACAGGUUUGGGUGGCUCAUGCCUGUAAUUCCAGCAUUUUGUGAGGCCAAGGUGGGCAGAUCACCUGAGGUCAGGAGUCUGAAACCAGCCUGCCCAAUAUGGUAAAACCCUGUCUCUACUAAAAAUACAAAAAUUAGCUGGGCAUGGUAGCAUGCGCCUGUAGUCCCAGCUACUAAGGAAGCUGAAGAAGGAGAAUCACUUGAACCAGGGAGGAGGUGGUUGCAGUGAGCCGAGAUUGUGCCACUGCACUCCAGCCUGGGUGACACAGCAAGACUCCGUCGUUAAAAAAAAAAAAAAGCUAUUAACAUAAACUUCAUAGUGUUUUUUAAAGAAGCUACACAUACAAGUUCUUAGUUGCUUCCAAGUUUUUAAGUUUUCAUUUUUAAUUUCUGUAUUAAAAUGCUUUUACCCUGCUAUAAACAAUACCUGAGACUGGAUAAUUUAUAAUGGAAGCAGGUUUAUUUGACUCACGGUUCUGCAUAACUGAGGAGGCCUCAGAAGACUUACAAUCAUGGCAGAAGGUGAAGGGGAAGCAAGACAAGAAAGGCUCUCUCAUUUUUAAACCAUCAGAUUUCGUGAGAACUCAUUAUCAUUAGAACAGCAUGGAAGAAACUGCCACCUUAAACCAAUUGCCUCCCACCAGGCCUCUCCCUCCACAUGUGGGGAUUACAAUUAGAGAUGAGAUUUGGGUGGAGACACAGAGCCAAACCAUAUCAAUUUCCAAGACCUUAUCUUCUCUGUAUUUUGUGUAACAUAUAAGGUGCCCCAAUGUUACUUUUAGUUAAUGUUUACAUCACAUAAAAAGUUACUAGUCUUCUCUGAACAUGAACUUUAUAAGCAUAACAUUUUUAUCAACUUUGAAUGCACAUUUUAAUUUUACUAAGAGUUCCAUAUACCUUCAGUGUUUCUUCUAGAAAUAAGCCUAAAC
RNAcentral lists this long non-coding RNA (4778 nucleotides) under Homo sapiens (human). Its description in RNAcentral is "HSALNT0019131". Lineage: Eukaryota; Metazoa; Chordata; Mammalia; Primates; Hominidae. The record is from RNAcentral.